Molecule: ribosomal RNA, 803 nt
Filed under: Triticum aestivum (bread wheat)
Lineage: Eukaryota; Viridiplantae; Streptophyta; Magnoliopsida; Poales; Poaceae
Description: partial small subunit ribosomal RNA
Source: RNAcentral
GGAGUAGCAGAGCACAGCGCUCCCUCCGGCUAGCCUCGCCGGCGUCGAGACCUCCGCCUUUGCCGCCGCUGUUUCCCGACAUCCAGGUGGUGCUCACGCCGUUCCACUGGUGCUGGAGGAGUGGAGGAGACCGACAAGGGGCAGGGAGUCGCCGUGUUACUGCUCGUGUAGGCCAGCACAGGGCGAAGCAGGGUGAGCGCGCGGGCAGAGUUCGUCAUGGCCUGGGCAGAGCAGCGGCGGCGGAGGCGAGCGCGCAGGCGGGGGUGCGUGGGCUGGCGCGGCGCGGACGCGGAGGAGCAGCAGGCCGCCACUGCAGCGCGCAGGCUGGGCUACGCCGCCCAGGCGAGCAGGCGGGCGUGGCGGGGCGGCGGCGACUGCGCGGGGCAGGCGGCAGGGCGCGGGCACAGCGGGCGAGAGCUCACCUGGCACUUAGGCCCUCUGCUCGCGUGCGCUGCUGGUAGAGCCCCAGGUCUCACCCUCCCCUUCUCCCAUGGCGGCGACCUCUGCCCAAUCCGAAACCAUGGCGUGCGAUGGCACCCGAUCUGAGAGAGGAGGAAAACGCGAGAGGGAGGAGAGAGGGGAAGUGGAGGCGGAUAUUUUCUAGGGUCGCUCGUCUCCAGCCCGAACGAGGCAUACCUUAGUCACCGUAAAAAGCAGCUGAUUUAUUGGGCCCAUGGCUAACAUGACCCACCCGGCAGACACUCUGGAAGCAGAUGCGGAUGUAUAAACGAACCAAUGGUCCACCAUGCGCCAGCAGCCAAAAUGCAGCUACAGGAAAAGAAUCGAGCGGCCCAGCGAUCGUA